This is a non-coding RNA of Alistipes sp. CAG:435, 73 nucleotides long. The record is from Rfam. NCBI's taxonomy places the organism in Bacteria, Pseudomonadati, Bacteroidota, Bacteroidia, Bacteroidales, Rikenellaceae.
GGGGGUAUAGCUCAGUUGGUAGAGCACCUGCUUUGCAAGCAGGGGGUCUAGAGUUCGAAUCUCUAUAUCUCCA